CUUACCAUGUCAUAUCUCAUAUGGUGCGGUAGGAAUGGACUUUAGAGGGAACUCUAUUCAACAAGUAAAUAGCUGAAAAUAGGGCAUCUAUCUAAAGAAACAAGGGUAAAUCAGUGAAGCUCAUCAUGGACUGGACCAUAUCAAUAGAAUCCGAUUCCUCCUCUCUGACACUCCAUUGAGCUGAGGUGUACCAGGAGGAGUCCAUUAUGAAACUAUAUCAUUCUCCU
This 227-nucleotide long non-coding RNA is filed under the name Phoenix dactylifera (date palm). RNAcentral describes it as "long non-coding RNA (PDAC_LNC009896)". Lineage: Eukaryota; Viridiplantae; Streptophyta; Magnoliopsida; Arecales; Arecaceae. The record is from RNAcentral.